CUGGCCUUGACAUGGUAGGAACCCUUAAGAGAUUAGGGGGUGCUAGCUUGCUAGAACCUACACACAGGUGCUGCACGGCUGUCGUCAGCUCGUGUCGUGAGAUGUUGGGUUAAGUCCCGCAACGAGCGCAACCCUCGUCUUUAGUUGCUAACAGUUAGGCUGAGCACUCUAAAGAGACUGCCUCCGUAAGGAGGAGGAAGGUGAGGACGACGUCAAGUCAUCAUGGCCCUUACGGCCAGGGCUACACACGUGCUACAAUGGGGCGUACAGAGAGCUGCAAUACCGCGAGGUGGAGCCAAUCUCUUAAAGCGUCUCUCAGUUCGGAUUGUUCUCUGCAACUCGGGAACAUGAAGCUGGAAUCACUAGUAAUCGUAGAUCAGCUAUGCUACGGUGAAUACGUUCC
RNAcentral lists this ribosomal RNA (403 nucleotides) under uncultured bacterium. RNAcentral describes it as "bacterial SSU rRNA". It matches the Rfam family "Bacterial small subunit ribosomal RNA", at positions 975 to 1374 of the family's 1533-position model. The record is from RNAcentral.